This 543-nucleotide ribosomal RNA is filed under the name uncultured bacterium. RNAcentral describes it as "bacterial SSU rRNA". It matches the Rfam family "Bacterial small subunit ribosomal RNA", at positions 355 to 896 of the family's 1533-position model. The record is from RNAcentral.
UGAGGAAUAUUGGUCAAUGGGCGAGAGCCUGAACCAGCCAAGUAGCGUGCAGGAUGACGGCCCUAUGGGUUGUAAACUGCUUUUAUGUGGGGAUAAAGUGAGCUACGUGUAGUUUAUUGCAGGUACCACAUGAAUAAGGACCGGCUAAUUCCGUGCCAGCAGCCGCGGUAAUACGGAAGGUCCAGGCGUUAUCCGGAUUUAUUGGGUUUAAAGGGAGCGUAGGCCGUGGAUUAAGCGUGUUGUGAAAUGUAGACGCUCAACGUCUGAAUUGCAGCGCGAACUGGUUCACUUGAGUAUGCACAACGUAGGCGGAAUUCGUCGUGUAGCGGUGAAAUGCUUAGAUAUGACGAAGAACUCCGAUUGCGAAGGCAGCUUACGGGAGCACAACUGACGCUGAAGCUCGAAGGUGCGGGUAUCAAACAGGAUUAGAUAUCCUGGUAGUCCGCACAGUAAACGAUGGAUGCCCGUUGUUAGUUCACUUAUGAAUUAGCGACCAAGCGAAAGCAUUAAGCAUCCCACCUGGGGAGUACGCCGGCAACGGUG